This 296-nucleotide long non-coding RNA is filed under the name Arabidopsis thaliana (thale cress). RNAcentral's name for it is "ncRNA (AT2G04565)". Lineage: Eukaryota; Viridiplantae; Streptophyta; Magnoliopsida; Brassicales; Brassicaceae. The record is from RNAcentral.
AUAUCUCCUCCUCCAUUCCCGACUUGAAACCGGUAAACACAUGCUUUGGUGACGGCUCCGACGGUAACGACUGUAGUUGUAACGGCGGUUAUUGUGAAACUGAGGUUGAUACCUAUUAGAGUGAGGACAAACAGGACAGUAAUAGUUAGGAGACCCAUAUGAUUUGCUUUAUCUCUUUUGUUCUUCUACAUAUUACUAUCAUAAGCAGAAUUAUAAGUUAUAUUUAGUUGUCUUGUAUGGGAAUAAUAGAAGUUACGUUAUUGGAACAAAAAAUAAGGGGAGGUCAAGAUUUGAAU